Molecule: non-coding RNA, 126 nt
Organism: Pseudonaja textilis
Lineage: Eukaryota; Metazoa; Chordata; Lepidosauria; Squamata; Elapidae
Source: RefSeq, a predicted model, not a curated record
AAGUUGUAAACGCUCCAAGUUUUUAAGAAGAGAUUGGACAACCAUUUGUCUGAAGUGUAGGGUUUCCUGCCUAAGCAGGGGGUUGGACUAGAAGACCUCCAAGUACCCUCCCAACUCGGUUAUGCU